This 124-nucleotide small nucleolar RNA is filed under the name Echinops telfairi (small Madagascar hedgehog). Its description in RNAcentral is "Small nucleolar RNA SNORA61 (ENSETEG00000026182.1)". Lineage: Eukaryota; Metazoa; Chordata; Mammalia; Afrosoricida; Tenrecidae. The record is from RNAcentral.
CCCCUCCAGAUUCCUUAGCCCUCAAACCUGAACAGUGGUCGGAGUGGCUUAAAGACAAAAGGAGGAAAGUGAAACUGAAAUGGACUUGGAGUCUUUGCGACAAACAAGUUCACUUCAAUCAAUA